This 483-nucleotide ribosomal RNA is filed under the name uncultured bacterium. RNAcentral describes it as "partial 16S ribosomal RNA". It matches the Rfam family "Bacterial small subunit ribosomal RNA", at positions 30 to 507 of the family's 1533-position model. The record is from RNAcentral.
AUUGAACGCUGGCGGCAGGCCUAACACAUGCAAGUCGAGCGGAUGAAGGGAGCUUGCUCCUGGAUUCAGCGGCGGACGGGUGAGUAAUGCCUAGGAAUCUGCCUGGUAGUGGGGGAUAACGUCCGGAAACGGGCGCUAAUACCGCAUACGUCCUGAGGGAGAAAGUGGGGGAUCUUCGGACCUCACGCUAUCAGAUGAGCCUAGGUCGGAUUAGCUAGUUGGUGGGGUAAAGGCCUACCAAGGCGACGAUCCGUAACUGGUCUGAGAGGAUGAUCAGUCACACUGAAACGGGAACACGGUCCAGACUCCUACGGGGGCAGCAGUGGGGAAUAUUGGACAAUGGGCGAAAGCCUGAUCCAGCCAUGCCGCGUGUGUGAAGAAGGUCUUCGGAUUGUAAAGCACUUUAAGUUGGGAGGAAGGGCAGUAAGUUAAUACCUUGCUGUUUUGACGUUACCAACAGAAUAAGCACCGGCUAACUUCGUG